GUCACCAAUCUCAGAGUUUGGUUCUUGACGAACUUAAUCUCCCAUAAUGCUUCGUGUACUCGUAGAACUCUGUGCGGAGACUACACGUCCCAGAAGCCCUGAAGUGUAAGCUUGAAGUGUCAUCAUUGAGGCCGACAUAGCCGUCUCGGGGCCAGUGGCGCAAUGGAUAACGCGUCUGACUACGGAUCAGAAGAUUCCAGAUGGCCUCUACUGUGUGGCAAGCAUGAUGCUGAACGGUUCCAGGUUUUCUUCUGAUGGCCUGAUAAAAACAACCCAGUUCUCAUAAUUGUUCUCUCCAUCUGCCUGCAAUCCUUGGGUCAGGAAGAUCCCCUGGAGAAGGGUAUUCUUGCCUGAAGAAUUCCAUGGACAGAGGAGCCUGGCGGUCACAAACAG
This is a long non-coding RNA of Cervus elaphus (red deer), 393 nucleotides long. RefSeq lists it as uncharacterized. NCBI's taxonomy places the organism in Eukaryota, Metazoa, Chordata, Mammalia, Artiodactyla, Cervidae. The transcript has 3 exons. The record is from RefSeq and is a predicted model, not a curated record.